UUAAAUGGCUGCAGUAUAUUGACUGUACAAAGGUAGCAUAAUAAUUAGUUUUUUAAUUGAAAGCUGGUAUGAAUGGUUGGACGAGAAAAUAGCUGUCUCUAUUUUAAUUUUAUGGAAUUUUAUUUUUAAGUUAAAAAGCUUAAAUAAUUUUAAAAGACGAGAAGACCCUAUAGAGUUUUAUAUUUUUAUUAUGAUAAAUUUAAUAAUUUUUUUUAUUAAUAUUUUUAAAUAUUUUAUUGGGGUGAUAGUAAAAUUUAAUAAACUUUUAUUUAAAUUUAACAUAUAUUUAUGAUUGAUUGAUCCAUUUUUAUGAUUAUAAGAUUAAAUUACCUUAGGGAUAACAGCGUAAUUUUUUUGGAGAGUUCUAAUCGAUAAGAAAGUUUGCGACCUCGAUGUUGGAUUAAAUUUUAUUUUUGGUGUAGAGGCUGAAAAAUUAGGUCUGUUCGACCUUUAAAAAUUUACAUGAUCUGAGUUUAGACCGGCGUGAGCCAGGUUAGUUUCUAUCUUUAAUAAAUUUAAAUAUUUUAGUACGAAAGGACCAAAUAUUUAUUAUACUAAUUUUUUAUGAAUAUUAAUA
Molecule: ribosomal RNA, 577 nt
Filed under: Deinopsis sp. ZMUN 10008437
Lineage: Eukaryota; Metazoa; Arthropoda; Insecta; Coleoptera; Staphylinidae
Description: partial 16S ribosomal RNA
Rfam family: Bacterial large subunit ribosomal RNA (bases 337-495)
Source: RNAcentral